RNAcentral lists this ribosomal RNA (468 nucleotides) under uncultured bacterium. RNAcentral's name for it is "partial 16S ribosomal RNA". It matches the Rfam family "Bacterial small subunit ribosomal RNA", at positions 28 to 507 of the family's 1533-position model. The record is from RNAcentral.
GACGAACGCUGGCGGCGUGCUUAACACAUGCAAGUCGAACGGAAAGGCCCUGCUUUUGUGGGGUGCUCGAGUGGCGAACGGGUGAGUAACACGUGAGUAACCUGCCCUUAACUUUGGGAUAACUUCAGGAAACUGGGGCUAAUACCGGAUAGGAGCUCCUGCUGCAUGGUGGGGGUUGGAAAGUUUCGGCGGUUGGGGAUGGACUCGCGGCUUAUCAGCUUGUUGGUGGGGUAGUGGCUUACCAAGGCUUUGACGGGUAGCCGGCCUGAGAGGGUGACCGGCCACAUGGGGACUGAGAUACGGCCCAGACUCGUACGGGAGGCAGCAGUGGGGAAUAUUGCACAAUGGGCGGAAGCCUGAUGCGGCGACGCCGCGUGCGGGAUGACGGCCUUCGGGUUGUGAACCGCUUUCGCCUGUGACGAAGCGUGAGUGACGGUAAUGGGUAAAGAAGCACCGGCUAACUACGUG